RNAcentral lists this transfer RNA (92 nucleotides) under Ipomoea nil (Japanese morning glory). It matches the Rfam family "tRNA". From Rfam's summary of the family: Transfer RNA (tRNA) molecules are approximately 80 nucleotides in length. Their secondary structure includes four short double-helical elements and three loops (D, anti-codon, and T loops). Lineage: Eukaryota; Viridiplantae; Streptophyta; Magnoliopsida; Solanales; Convolvulaceae. The record is from Rfam by way of RNAcentral.
UUGACCUUAGCUCAAUUGGUAGAGCGGAGGACUGUAGUGGUUAGUAGCCGUUUGAGAUCCUUAGGUCGCUGGUUCGAAUCCGACAUGUUGGA